UACGUAGGGGGCGAGCGUUAUCCGGAAUUAUUGGGCGUAAAGGGUGCGUAGGUGGUCUGAUAAGCGUGGGGUGAAAGGCAAUAGCUUAACUAUUGUAAGCCUUGCGAACUGUCAGACUUGAGUGCAGGAGAGGAAAGUGGAAUUCCUAGUGUAGCGGUGAAAUGCAUAGAUAUUAGGAGGAACACCAGUGGCGAAGGCGACUUUCUGGACUGUAACUGACACUGAGGCACGAAAGCGUGGGGAGC
Molecule: ribosomal RNA, 245 nt
Filed under: uncultured Anaerovorax sp.
Lineage: Bacteria; Bacillati; Bacillota; Clostridia; Peptostreptococcales; Anaerovoracaceae
Description: partial 16S ribosomal RNA
Rfam family: Bacterial small subunit ribosomal RNA
Source: RNAcentral